This 497-nucleotide ribosomal RNA is filed under the name uncultured bacterium. Its description in RNAcentral is "partial 16S ribosomal RNA". It matches the Rfam family "Bacterial small subunit ribosomal RNA", at positions 28 to 507 of the family's 1533-position model. The record is from RNAcentral.
GAUGAACGCUGGCGGCGUGCCUAAUACAUGCAAGUCGAGCGAACGGACGAGAAGCUUGCUUCUCUGAUGUUAGCGGCGGACGGGUGAGUAACACGUGGAUAACCUACCUAUAAGACUGGGAUAACUUCGGGAAACCGUAGCUAAUACCGGAUAAUAUUUUGAACCGCAUGGUUCAAAAGUGAAAGACGGUCUUGCUGUCACUUAUAGAUGGAUCCGCGCUGCAUUAGCUAGUUGGUAAGGUAACGGCUUACCAAGGCAACGAUGCAUAGCCGACCUGAGAGGUGGAUCGGCCACCCUGGAACUGAGACACGGUCCAGACUCCUACGGGAGGCAGCAGUAGGGAAUCUUCCGCAAUGGGCGAAAGCCUGACGGAGCAACGCCGCGUGAGUGAUGAAGGUCUUCGGAUCGUAAAACUCUGUUAUUAGGGAAGAACAUAUGUGUAAGUAACUGUGCACAUCUUGACGGUACCUAAUCAGAAAGCCACGGCUAACUACGUG